GCCGUAGGUGAACCUGCGGAGGGAUCAUUACCGAGUUUACAACUCCCAAACCCCAUGUGAACAUACCUGUUUCGUUCCCUCGGCGGUGUCCGGCAACGGCCCGCCAGAGGACCCAACAAACUCUUUUGAAUUUUUCAGUAUCUUCUGAGUAAAAAAAACAAUAAAUCAAAACUUUCAACAACGGAUCUCUUGGUUCUGGCAUCGAUGAAGAACGCAGCGAAAUGCGAUAAGUAAUGUGAAUUGCAGAAUUCAGUGAAUCAUCGAAUCUUUGAACGCACAUUGCGCCCGCCAGUAUUCUGGCGGGCAUGCCUGUUCGAGCGUCAUUUCAACCCUCAAGCACCUUCGGGAGCUUGGUGUUGGGGAUCGGCAGGGCGUCCUCCGGGUCGCGCCGUCCCCCAAAUCUAGUGGCGGUCUCGCUGUAGCUUCCUCUGCGUAGUAAUACACCUCGCUCUGGAGUCUCGGUGCGGCCACGCCGUAAAACCCCCAACUUUUUUCUGGUUGACCUCGAAUCAGGUAGGACUACCCGCUGAACUUAAGCAUAUCAAUAAGCGGAGGC
RNAcentral lists this ribosomal RNA (556 nucleotides) under Calonectria cylindrospora. RNAcentral's name for it is "eukaryotic LSU rRNA". The stretch from base 170 to 323 matches the Rfam family "5.8S ribosomal RNA". The record is from RNAcentral. Lineage: Eukaryota; Fungi; Ascomycota; Sordariomycetes; Hypocreales; Nectriaceae.